GACGAACGCUGGCGGCGUGCUUAACACAUGCAAGUCGAACGGAAAGGCUCCAGCUUGCUGGAGUACUCGAGUGGCGAACGGGUGAGUAACACGUGGGUAAUCUGCCCUGCACUCUGGGAUAAGCCUGGGAAACUGGGUCUAAUACUGGAUAUGACCUUUCUCCUUAUGGGGUUUGGUGGAAAGUUUUUCGGUGUAGGAUGAGCCCGCGGCCUAUCAGCUUGUUGGUGGGGUGAUGGCAUACCAAGGCGACGACGGGUAGCCGGCCUGAGAGGGUGAGCGGCCACGUUGGGACUGAGCUACGGCCCAGACUCCUACGGGAGGCAGCAGUGGGGAAUAUUGCACAAUGGGCGGAAGCCUGAUGCAGCGCCGCCGCGUGAGGGAUGACGGCCUUCGGGUUGUAAACCUCUUUCAGCAGGGACGAAGCGUAAGUGACGGUACCUGCAGAAGAAGCACCGGCUAACUACGUG
RNAcentral lists this ribosomal RNA (467 nucleotides) under uncultured bacterium. RNAcentral describes it as "partial 16S ribosomal RNA". It matches the Rfam family "Bacterial small subunit ribosomal RNA", at positions 28 to 507 of the family's 1533-position model. The record is from RNAcentral.